GUUCUACUGUCUUAAUGCUUGCAAAGAAGGGUUUUUAAAUGGAUGUAGGCCAUUCAUAGGGGUAGAUGGUUGUUUUAUCAAGCUGUCAACAGGUCAGCAGAUCCUUGCUGCAACAGGAAGGGAUGGAAACAACAACAUAUACCCUAUAGCAUUUGGAGUUGUUGACAAAGAGGACACAGACAGCUGGACCUGGUUCUUAACACAACUGAAAGAUGCACUUGGUGGAGAAAGUGGAAAGUUUGGGUAUUAUACUAUCAUUUCUGAUAGGCAGAAGGGCCUUUUAAAUGCAGUAAACCAUGUUUUUCCCAGUUGUCCACAA
Triticum aestivum (bread wheat) is the source of this 319-nucleotide long non-coding RNA. RefSeq lists it as uncharacterized. The transcript has 3 exons. The record is from RefSeq and is a predicted model, not a curated record. NCBI's taxonomy places the organism in Eukaryota, Viridiplantae, Streptophyta, Magnoliopsida, Poales, Poaceae.